RNAcentral lists this ribosomal RNA (366 nucleotides) under Papuascincus sp. RNAcentral's name for it is "partial small subunit ribosomal RNA". It matches the Rfam family "Bacterial small subunit ribosomal RNA", at positions 845 to 1384 of the family's 1533-position model. The record is from RNAcentral. Lineage: Eukaryota; Metazoa; Chordata; Lepidosauria; Squamata; Scincidae.
ACAGAUAUUUUAAUACCAUAUAUCCGCCAGAGAACUACAAGCGAAAAGCUAGAAACUCCAAGGACUUGGCGGUGCUUCAAACCAACCUAGAGGAGCCUGUCCUAUAAUCGAUACUCCACGUUCUACCUUACCCCCCUUAGCCUUCAGCCUAUAUACCGCCGUCGUCAGCUUACCUUAUGAAAGAAAUAAAGUAGGCAAAAUAGUUAAUAACUAAAACGUCAGGUCAAGGUGUAGCACAUGGGCGGGCAGAGAUGGGCUACAUUUUCAAAACGAACACACGGAUAAUAUAUUGAAACAUAUAUUUGAAGGCGGAUUUAGUAGUAAAAUAACAAAGAAAAUUGUAUUGAAAGCUGCUCUGAAGCGCGC